This 273-nucleotide ribosomal RNA is filed under the name uncultured prokaryote. RNAcentral describes it as "partial 16S ribosomal RNA". It matches the Rfam family "Bacterial small subunit ribosomal RNA", at positions 524 to 796 of the family's 1533-position model. The record is from RNAcentral.
UACGUAGGGUGCAAGCGUUAAUCGGAAUUACUGGGCGUAAAGCGUGCGCAGGCGGUGAUGUAAGACAGUUGUGAAAUCCCCGGGCUCAACCUGGGAACUGCAUCUGUGACUGCAUCGCUGGAGUGCGGCAGAGGGGGAUGGAAUUCCGCGUGUAGCAGUGAAAUGCGUAGAUAUGCGGAGGAACACCGAUGGCGAAGGCAAUCCCCUGGGCCUGCACUGACGCUCAUGCACGAAAGCGUGGGGAGCAAACAGGAUUAGAAACCCUUGUAGUCC